CGCUGGCGGCGUGCCUAACACAUGCAAGUCGAACGGGGUUGCGGAAGCUUGCUUCUGCAGCUUAGUGGCGAACGGGUGAGUAACGCGUGAGGAACCUGCCUUUCAGUGGGGGACAACAGUUGGAAACGACUGCUAAUACCGCAUAAUGUGCUUAGGGGGCAUCCCCUGAGUACCAAAGCUUUAUGUGCUGAAAGAUGGCCUCGCGUCUGAUUAGAUAGUUGGUGGGGUAACGGCCUACCAAGUCGACGAUCAGUAGCCGGUCUGAGAGGAUGAACGGCCACAUUGGGACUGAGAUACGGCCCAGACUCCUACGGGAGGCAGCAGUGGGGAAUAUUGGGCAAUGGGGGAAACCCUGACCCAGCAACGCCGCGUGAAGGAAGAAGGCCUUCGGGUUGUAAACUUCUUUUAGCAGGGACGAAGGACGUGACGGUACCUGCAGAAAAAGCAACGGCUAACUACGUG
RNAcentral lists this ribosomal RNA (462 nucleotides) under uncultured bacterium. RNAcentral's name for it is "bacterial SSU rRNA". It matches the Rfam family "Bacterial small subunit ribosomal RNA", at positions 34 to 507 of the family's 1533-position model. The record is from RNAcentral.